RNAcentral lists this long non-coding RNA (256 nucleotides) under Ananas comosus (pineapple). RNAcentral describes it as "long non-coding RNA (ACOM_LNC001885)". The record is from RNAcentral. Lineage: Eukaryota; Viridiplantae; Streptophyta; Magnoliopsida; Poales; Bromeliaceae.
AGAGUUGAGUUGGGUUUACAUUUUGUUAGUAGAGUACCCUAUGUUCAUUUUUUGUAUUUGAUGACUAGUGAUGUUGAGAAGAGAAUGUAAUGUGUAUUUUGAGGUAAAUGUGAUGUAAGAAAGAAAUGAUGAAAUGAAAUAUAAGGAAUUCGAAAGUGAACAAGAUGAAUGCAAUGUAUAUGAUAAAAAAUGAAUCAUAGUACUUGUAAAUGUUUAGUUUUCCUUUCUUUCACUAAUGGCUAUUGCUUACCCUCGU